UACGUAGGGUGCAGGCGUUAAUCGGAAUUACUGGGCGUAAAGCGCACGUAGGCGGAUUUGUAAGUCAGGGGUGAAAUCCCGGGGCUCAACCUCGGAACUGCCUUUGAUACUGCAAAUCUCGAGUCCGGAAGAGGUGAGUGGAAUUCCUAGUGUAGAGGUGAAAUUCGUAGAUAUUAGGAAGAACACCAGUGGCGAAGGCGGCUCACUGGUCCGGUACUGACGCUGAGGUGCGAAAGCGUGGGUAGCAAACAGG
Molecule: ribosomal RNA, 253 nt
Filed under: uncultured bacterium
Lineage: Bacteria
Description: partial 16S ribosomal RNA
Rfam family: Bacterial small subunit ribosomal RNA
Source: RNAcentral